This 108-nucleotide ribosomal RNA is filed under the name Lysinibacillus alkalisoli. Lineage: Bacteria; Bacillati; Bacillota; Bacilli; Caryophanales; Bacillaceae. The record is from RNAcentral.
AGUGGCAAUGGCAAAGAGGUCACACCUGUUCCCAUACCGAACACAGUAGUUAAGCUCUUUAGCGUCGAUGGUAGUUGGAUGUAGGUCCUGCGAGAGUAGAACGUUGCU